RNAcentral lists this ribosomal RNA (757 nucleotides) under uncultured Bacilli bacterium. RNAcentral's name for it is "bacterial SSU rRNA". It matches the Rfam family "Bacterial small subunit ribosomal RNA", at positions 28 to 766 of the family's 1533-position model. The record is from RNAcentral. Lineage: Bacteria; Bacillati; Bacillota; Bacilli.
GACGAACGCUGGCGGCGUGCCUAAUACAUGCAAGUCGAGCGGACCGACGGGAGCUUGCUCCCUUAGGUCAGCGGCGGACGGGUGAGUAACACGUGGGUAACCUGCCUGUAAGACUGGGAUAACUCCGGGAAACCGGGGCUAAUACCGGAUGCUUGAUUGAACCGCAUGGUUCAAUCAUAAAAGGUGGCUUUUAGCUACCACUUGCAGAUGGACCCGCGGCGCAUUAGCUAGUUGGUGAGGUAACGGCUCACCAAGGCGACGAUGCGUAGCCGACCUGAGAGGGUGAUCGGCCACACUGGGACUGGGACACGGCCCAGACUCCUACGGGAGGCAGCAGUAGGGAAUCUUCCGCAAUGGACGAAAGUCUGACGGAGCAACGCCGCGUGAGUGAUGAAGGUUUUCGGAUCGUAAAACUCUGUUGUUAGGGAAGAACAAGUACCGUUCGAAUAGGGCGGUACCUUGACGGUACCUAACCAGAAAGCCACGGCUAACUACGUGCCAGCAGCCGCGGUAAUACGUAGGUGGCAAGCGUUGUCCGGAAUUAUUGGGCGUAAAGCGCGCGCAGGCGGUUUCUUAAGUCUGAUGUGAAAGCCCCCGGCUCAACCGGGGAGGGUCAUUGGAAACUGGGGAACUUGAGUGCAGAAGAGGAGAGUGGAAUUCCACGUGUAGCGGUGAAAUGCGUAGAGAUGUGGAGGAACACCAGUGGCGAAGGCGACUCUCUGGUCUGUAACUGACGCUGAGGCGCGAAAGCGUGGGG